This 253-nucleotide ribosomal RNA is filed under the name uncultured bacterium. RNAcentral's name for it is "partial 16S ribosomal RNA". It matches the Rfam family "Bacterial small subunit ribosomal RNA", at positions 524 to 776 of the family's 1533-position model. The record is from RNAcentral.
UACGUAUGGUGCAAGCGUUAUCCGGAUUUACUGGGUGUAAAGGGAGCGCAGGCGGCACGGCAAGCCUGAUGUGAAAGCCCGCGGCCCAACCGCGGGACUGCAUUGGGAACUACCGGGCUGGAGUGCCGGAGAGGUAGGCGGAAUUCCUAGUGUAGCGAUGAAAUGCGUAGAUAUUAGGAGGAACACCAGUGGCGAAGGCGGCCUACUGGACGGUGACUGACGCUGAGGCUCGAAAGCGUGGGGAGCAAACAGG